This 697-nucleotide small RNA is filed under the name Arabidopsis thaliana (thale cress). Its description in RNAcentral is "ATSL261570". The record is from RNAcentral. Lineage: Eukaryota; Viridiplantae; Streptophyta; Magnoliopsida; Brassicales; Brassicaceae.
AUUUAAAAUUUGCUAUACUUACAUAGUCUUUCAGCCAUCCAUAUCUUUCUGUUGGCCAGUCGUUUCUUGGAGUCAUUAUCUGCCAAUAGAACCGUGCAUUAAAGUUGUUGGUGUUCAGGCCUUCUUUUUCACUGCAGAAAAAAAAAGGAAUGAGUAAUGAUAGCAUUUAUAUUUGAAGAAAAAAUAGAGACUUACAAAUCAGGUUCGAGCCAAUCCUUCAGCCUAUCAAAUUGGUCAUCAGAAACAGGUUGAAGAUGUUCAGGUACCGAUGAAGACGAUGGUACAUCAGUGAUUAUGCGCUUCACUGUUGAAUUUCCUACAUACGGAUAUUUCUGAGAACCCGCUAGCUGUGGCACUCGUCUCCUCUUACUAGUGAUACCGUCCAAAUUAUCUAGUCCUUCUUGAAGUGCUCUCAAUGCAUCAGCCGUUGCCUUAUUAGCCAUCUGAUCUGUAGGAUUGGAGAAUGUUUCUUCUGAACUUGAAGCCAUUUUCAGAUUGUCUGCAUUAACCUUGUCAGUGACAUCCACAACAUCAUCAUCAAACGUCUUUGUUGUUGGAGCUGCAACAGACUUCUUCUGCAAGGGUUUUGGACUAUCUACCUUCUCUACCUUCACAACUGUCUUCUUCAUUUCAGGUUUUGGUUUUUCUACCUUCUCUACAUUGACAAUUGUCUUCUUCUUAUCAGAUUUUGCAACUU